AUGCAUGAAGUGUGUGGACAAGGACUGCCAGGCUGCAGGUGGAAAGUGCAUGCAGCGGGAAAGUGCAGCCGCCAGGUCCGGGUGCAUUUUACAGAGGUCAGGCUGGAGGUCGUGGUGUGGACCAGAAGAAAGGUCAGGAACUGGAAUCAUGGUGUUAGUGGUUCAGAAAAGUCGUGCAAUGCCAGAGGCUGAGUCAUUUGGCUUUGUUCACACACUAGCAAGUUCAAACCCAGUUCAGUUGUGUUGCAAAUCCAAUAUGCUAAGUCACCGUAAUUUAGCAGCAGGUUUCCCCUCAAGGUAUCAUGACAUUAUUUUUGUGGUCUCAACCAACCAGCGUUUAUCAAAGGGAGAGGGAGAGAGAGAAUGGAAGGAAGGAAGGAAAAAAGGAAGGAAGGAAAGAAGGAAGGAAAGGAAGGAGGGAAGGAAGGAAGUAGAAUAGGACCACACUUUAUUGCACGUAGUGAAGGGAGGGGCUGCUGCAUAUGUGUUUCUAUGCUGCAUGCUUAUCUGCAGAUGGAUGUACCAGACUGUGAUAUGAAACCUAUUUUUACAGCUGGUGGUGGCUCCUCUGAGCUGCUACUGGAUUUGACCUCCACCCCCUCUCACGCUGACUCUGGGUCCUUCGAAAUGAGUCAUGGAGAGUCAUUCCCUGCCCACUCUGCUGUACACCUCAUGGUUUCUGAUAAUACAGCAUUGUGAAGUCGGGGGAAGGCUGGCAGAGGGGCCCGGUCCAGUCUGUGACCUGAGCCACCACGGCAGGGUGUCCAGGGGGAGGGGAAGGUGGUGUGAAUCCUUAGUAAUGCAGGUCCUUCCCAGGCCAGGUCCCUGGUACCCAGGGGCUGCCCGAGGUCUACUGAUGCCCUAUCCAGAGCUGCCCCCGCAGCGAUGACUCAGGGUCCUGGUGGCCCCAGCAUCAUCCCUCCAUCCCUGGCUGGAAGGCAGGAGCAGAGUUGCAGAGCUGAGAGGCCUUUAAUUUGUUUGAUGUAAGACUUUGCUGCGAGACCAAGGGCUUUGCCUGUGAGUUCUGGCUUGGCCUGGCCUCUGAGAAAGAACAAACGCAGACCUCACUGGAAGGAACCUGGAGAACGGAAGAAGAGGAGAGGCUGCUGCUGUGUGCCCUCCCAGCAGCAAGGGGCUUCUAAGUCCCCUAGAAUCCCAGCUGUGUAAUUUAAGGCAGGUUCAUCUCUCGGAACCUCAGUUUCCUCAUUUGCAGGUGCUUGUCAUUCUCCUUCAUAUCCAUUGUCACUCUUGCAAUGAUAUAAAAAAUGCUUACAUUUCAGAUACAUCCCCAGCCGGGAUGUAAGGAAGGUCAAGACCCUCUCUUUCUUAUCACCUCUAUAUCAACUCCCUUCUACCUUGCCUCCCUCCACCUGGCCUGUUCUGGCUGGUAAAAUGUAGCCAGAGGUUCCUGGAAAGGCUUUCCAUCUCAAGUAAAGUCUGGCUUAGAGAAAACCACUGGUCUCUUUCCUUUUCUUCUUCUAGACAUGAACAUGGGGUUGGAAGAACAUGGGGAAGACAAGGACCAGGCUCUCAGAAGGAGCUGGUGUGGGGGGAGCCAUGAGAACUGGAGGAGGUAAAUACAGUUUCUGACUUACGUAAUGAUGUAUGCACCAGAAACCUCUCCUUGUGUGUAUUAAUUCAGCAGACAGUUAUGGAGUCCCUACAAUGUGCUAGUGGAACUUUGAAGAUGAAUCCAAUUUGGAUCCUGAAAAGCCUCAAAGCCUAAUAUAGGAGCACCAAGCAUCUAUUUCCAAGAGAAAAAGAGGCUCACGGUGUGACAUAACACUCUCUGGAAAGCAGACUCAGAAUUUGGGAUGAAUUGUCUGUGAAUCCUAUAAGGAGCCUGGAGGUGGUGAAGAGAAUGCCAAGUGGCGUUUCCAUAAGCCUUGACCAUCAGGAGACAGCUUACCUUGUUGAAUCUUGAUCCUGUCUUCUGACCACUUUGCGUAGUAGAAGAACAAGGUAAGAGUGGGAACAAAAUGGUGGGUGCUGAGGCACAUGCUUGGAGGGCAAAUACAUGGAGACUAUGAAUAGAACGUUAGAGUCCCUGCCAAGAUAAAGCAGACUUACAUGGCACAGUCCUUACUUCAAGAAUAUUGAUGGAGUUUUCAAGGCAGAACCGUGGGGGUGCAGGGAAUACAACCAUAAAUCAGAUAAAAAUAUCCUUUGUUUGCAGGGUGCCUACAGCCUUGUUGGCGGGGUGGGGCGGGGGUACAGUUAAUAAACACAGUUGCAAAACUGCACACCAGGUUUCUCAAUAGGAGAAGUAUAGGUUGCAAAUGGUGCACAUAGGUCGUCCUAACCCAGUGUGAGAGGGUCGUAGAAGGAAUUCUGGACUAGUGCUAUCUAAGCUCAGCUCCAAAGGAGACUUGGACCCUAGUUAGGGGAGUAGAUGUGGGGGUGGAACAGAGGGAAAAGCAGGUGCAAGAAAAGCAUGAUGUUUCAAAAGAACUAAAGAUACUGCAGUGUGAUGUGAUUUCAGCUAUAACUUUAGCAUACAGGAUGGGGAAAAAAACUUCUCUAGGCAAAACCUAGUAUUAUUUUGAUAAACUAUGCUCAAGUGCAUUACCUGAAAUUCAUAGCAUCUGCAUGAAUGGACCUGCUGCCUUCCCUUUACUAGUGUGCUCAGGUAGGAACCCCAGCUGCAUAUAGAGGCAAGAAAGGACAGGUUAAUGCAGACUUCUGCAUUUAAUGCAUUGAGUGGCAAAAUGUGACUCAGCCCCACUCACUGAAGCAGACAGCGCCCUCAAGUGGAAAUGAGGAUGAGUGAUCCUUUUGGGCCUCACUAGCCCCAACUUGUAUAUGCAGUAAAUAUGCUUUUUUUUUUUUUUUUUUUUUUUUUUUUUUUUGCCAUUUCCCUGUGAAACUGCAGUCAGCUGAUGGUCAGCAAAGUCUGCUGAAAUUCUGAAACCAAAUAAUGUAAGGAGUGUUCUCAUUUCUAUGAAGAACUGACUUGUUUUAUUAUCUAAAUUUGAAUCCAAGCAAGUUACCAGGUUG
This is a long non-coding RNA of Sapajus apella (tufted capuchin), 2997 nucleotides long. RefSeq lists it as uncharacterized. The transcript has 4 exons. The record is from RefSeq and is a predicted model, not a curated record. NCBI's taxonomy places the organism in Eukaryota, Metazoa, Chordata, Mammalia, Primates, Cebidae.